AUGCGGGGCCAAUCUCAAAUCCCAAAUUCUGGAAAGCGCUACUUCCCACGCAGUAAAGGGAAGCCCGGGCGCCUCAAAACCAAACCUUGGAAGACGCUGGAGGAGCAAAGCCUGCAAGUUUCCAUCCACAGCCUCGAAGCCAUGGGUUCUCCCCGGCCCUCUGAAGCCGCCACACCUGUGCCAGCCGGCCGCAUCCUCAGACCUUUCCACACGGAGUCUUCCCAGCACUUGGAGAAGCAGCGCAGGGUCCCGAGGACGGCCUGGCCCGGAGAAAAGAUACCCAAGCUCCAACUUUCCCCAACCCCGCUCCCCUCCUCCUUCCACCCUCCCUUCCCGCCCCAAAGCUCGGGGGUCCUAUCCCUCCUCCGGUCCGCGGAGUCUCCCGAACCCUGCGGGGACCCGGCGCUCGGCGGUGCCCUCCUGGGGCGCACGGGGCUGGGGCGGGAGCGGGGAGACCAGGUGGGGAGGGGACCCCAGAUCUCAGACGCCCGGGGAGACGGCGUUUCCCGCUGUUCAUUCAGGUUUGUGCCAAAAGGAGCCUCACAGAUGCAGUAUUGGGUUUGGUAGACUCAAAUCGUCUUGUUUUAAUGUAAAUGAAAGCACGAGCGCGCAUCGCGGAGGCCACGAUUCCCGUUUUAUUCCCUCUCCACGGCAAGGAAAAGCAGCGAAAUCUGAGGUCUUCAGAGGUUAACCCUAUCUAGGAGCAGAAUGUGACGCAUUGUAAACAAAUAAAUGUUGAAAACUCGAUGUUAAACACUUUACUUUUUCUGACUCCGACUUGCUUGACCCCUGAGCAGACCUGGGUUUUGAACACAGACGCCCUUCCCCAUUUCUCUAUUCUCUGUAUUCCUGUUUCACCUUCACGGCAAUCUGCCAGUACUUCUUAGCACUCAGUUUAACCAGAGGACGAGCUCUUGAAUAGCAAAAACCAGGUCUUUUUAUACGUGGCACAGUGCCUGUUACAAAAUAUGCUUCUUGGGUGAAUUGGUAAAAAAUAUUGUGUUACUUUUUAUUUGUAGCAAAACCUAGAAUAAGAAAAAGUACAAGAGAUUAUUGUUUGCCUUUAAGUUGCAUUUUUAGAAGAGCGUGCAUGUAAUCUCUGAGAAAUUAAAUGUCUACAAAUACACAAAGAUAUUGUCUCAUUGCAAAGGGACAUUCUAUUCCAGGGCCUGAAGAAGGAAAAACAGCGUGUUGCAUGUAUAAAUGUUGACUUUGAGAGACAAGUUUUUGUUAAAAUUUUAUCGUUAAAUGAAUAGACACAUAUAUUUUUGUUUUUCAGACCAAAGGUAAUUGUUAAUUCAUUUGUAAAAUAAUGUGGUUUUGGCUAACAAUCUCUGGAAUCCUUUCUAUAAUAAAAUUUUGUGAUUCCAGGACGUCGUAGGCGCUCUGGGGCUGCUUUUGAAAGGCUAAUUAAUUCAAGUUUUAACUGCCUAUCUGCUUUUAUGCAUCUGUGUCAGGACUGCACAUAAGGGUUAUUUUGCUAUUAAAUACUAGGGUUCUACUGCAAUAACAAUAAAAAGUAAAACCCUGACUAUCCUGAAACUCUGCGAGGGAAUGUCCCCCAUGAGGUUACCAAAAUUCAACUUUCUGGUUUUUGUGAUGAGUAUAGCUUUGAUUCUGAGAUGUGUCUAAAACCAGUUGCAGUUGGUGUCUCUUUAUUAACUUUUAACUUUGAAAUAAUUCUGAAUUUACAGAAACUUUCUAAAUGUAGUACAAAAAACUCCAGUAACCCCUCAUCCUCAUGGGUAUGUUCCAAGACCCCCAGUGGCUGCCUGAUACCGUGGAU
Molecule: long non-coding RNA, 1786 nt
Organism: Pan paniscus (pygmy chimpanzee)
Lineage: Eukaryota; Metazoa; Chordata; Mammalia; Primates; Hominidae
Source: Ensembl